This 333-nucleotide unclassified non-coding RNA is filed under the name Hevea brasiliensis (rubber tree). The record is from RNAcentral. Lineage: Eukaryota; Viridiplantae; Streptophyta; Magnoliopsida; Malpighiales; Euphorbiaceae.
GUUAGCAAAUUGGUGAAAGGAAGACCUCUUGACAACCUGGAGUUUAUGCAAUGGUUGAAGAGAUACUGCGAUUCUGUUAAUGGGGGCAAUCUUCACAGUUACAAUCCUCUUGAAAGAAGGGAGGGGUGCAAGGGUGCCAAAGAAGUGAACAAAAGAUCUGCUCCUUCACAAAAUGCUACCAAAAAUGCCUCGACUGCUUCAAAGCAUGUCUCCCAUAACACUAGAAGAAAUGAAGUACCUCAUGUAAGCAGCACAAAUCAAUCUGGUAAGAUCUCGAGGCCUUCUUCAAGUGGAGGAUCGUCAACCUAUUCUGAAACUGAACGUACUGCACAU